GAGUGAUACAUGUAUAGUUAGAAGUCCCAGUGCUGUUGUACUCUACUCCAAUCAAAUUACUGGUCGUAUUAUAAAUACUUGUGAACAUCAUUUUCAGUUCUUUCCGCCCUUUUCAUCGAAAGCAGUGGGAAUGUUUUACUUGCGUUUGCUUUUAGUAAUGUGCUGCCAUCCUGUUAGAAGUUUCACAACAUAAACGUUUUGAUUGCACCCGACCAGAUGAACAGCUAUCGGAGGAAAGCCAAGUACCACCGGAACAAAACAACAUUCAUCACUGAUAAGCAACUCCAUACAUCUGACUCAGAGGGGCAUUGACCAACAUGGAGCUGUCACAAUGCAACAAAAAGGCGUGAAUGACAUUGUUGCUGGGGUACAGAAGUAUCAAUCAUCACUAUUGGACAACCUCAGGAAGCAGAUGGAGGCAGUGCUAAAGAAGCAUUCAGGAUGCACAUCAGGUCAACUUGAAAAAGAUGCAAUGGAUAUAUUUGACAAUUUCAUUGACCCUUUUGCUGGUGUUGCAACAACAUUUAGACAGGUCAGUGUUAUUAAGUAGCAGUUUAGCUGUUUGGACGCAGAGGAAAUUCCAAUUGCUCGAACCAUAUGCAGGAUGAAAUGUGGAGGAUCAAAAUACAUUCAUCAAAGAUCAUAAAAUCAUUUAUGUACCAUUAGUCAAAAGUCUAGAACAGUUCUUAUCACACCCAAGGAUUUUGUCAAUGGUUGAAAAGGGAACCCAGAUGUGCAGGGAAAUUUUUUUUCAUGACAUUGUUGAUGGUGCUCUUCUAAAAUCACAUCCCUUAUUUUCAGAGAAACCAAAGGCAUUGCAGAUUGUUCUUUACACGGAUGAAAUAGAAAUUUGUAAUCCACUAGGAUCCUUUGCAUCAAAGAACAAGUUGUUAAUGGUGUACGCCACCCUAGGAAAUAUAAAUCCAAAACACAGGUCUAAACUGGCUGCUAUCAGGCUACUUGCCAUGGCUAGAUCAGCAGACCUCCGUCAAUCUGGUGUAGAUGUAAUAUUGAAUAGAAUCAUGGAAGAUAUGGAUGCAUUGUACAGUGGGGUUAAAAUGCUAACUAUUAACAGAGAACUAUAUAUGGUGCCAUGGUCUCUCUGUGGAGACACCCUGGCACAACAUGAACUAGCAGGGUUCAAAGAGGGUGUGGGCUUUGCCUACAACAAGUGCAGACACUGUGUGUUCUUUUGAGGACAUGCAGUCACACUUCAAUGAGGAUGCAUAUACUAAAAGGACAUUGGAGAAGCAUGUCAGAAGAAAUAGAAACAGACGGACUUGCUUCGCAACAGCCUGAGAACAACAUAUGGGAUCAAUAGAAGGAGCAAGUUAGUUGAAUUCCCAGCCUUUGAUAUCAUACAACAAACUCCGCAAGACAUUAUGCAUGUCAUUCUGGAGGGUAUAGCCCCACUGGAAAUCAAAUGUGUUUUGAAUCAUCUUGUCGUGUCAGGACAGAUUGAGCUGGACUCAGUGAAUUCUGCUAUUCUUGGUUUCCCUUAUUCCCCUCUAGAUGUUAGAGAUCGGCCAUCCCCAAUUUCUGUUAGUACAUUAACGUCAAGUGAUGGUAAACUAAAACAGUCAUCUGGGCAAAUGCUUGUCCUGCUAAGGAUAUUACCAUUUGUUUUGGAGAGUUUGGAAGUCAAUGCAUAUAUACAACUGAUAAUUGAGCUAAUAGAGAUUGUACAGAUAGUAUUUGCACCUGUUCUUUCCAUUGUGACUGUGUCUAGGUUGAAGUUACUCAUUGAAAAUAAUUUGAAGCAUUGGAAUGGAGCUUUGUCCAGACCGCAAUGUUACACCUAAACAGCAUUCUAUGAUACAUUUGCCAUCACAGAUAAAGUCAUUGGGGCCAAUGGUUAGAUAUAUGUGUAUGCGGUCUGAGUCUGUUACGGUAGUAGUGAUUGAACCAAGGCGCAGCUUUGUGAAAUGACAUGAUUUAAUAAAGACACGAACAAACAACUAAGACAGAAAAACGAACUAGACUUGAAUUAACUAACAAAAUAACAAAACGAAUGUGUAGACAAACCUAGACAUACGAACUUACAAUAAAACACGAAGAACGCACGAACAGGGAAAAAUAGACUACACAAAA
This is a long non-coding RNA of Salvelinus sp. IW2-2015, 2091 nucleotides long. RefSeq lists it as uncharacterized. The record is from RefSeq and is a predicted model, not a curated record. NCBI's taxonomy places the organism in Eukaryota, Metazoa, Chordata, Actinopteri, Salmoniformes, Salmonidae.